Molecule: small nuclear RNA, 110 nt
Organism: Dromiciops gliroides (monito del monte)
Lineage: Eukaryota; Metazoa; Chordata; Mammalia; Microbiotheria; Microbiotheriidae
Source: RefSeq, a predicted model, not a curated record
GUGCUCACUUCAUCAGCACAUAUACUAAAAAAUUGGACCGAUAUAGAGAAGAUUAGCAUGGCCCCUGUACAAGGAUGACACGUAAUUAAUGUUAUAUAGCCAGGUGUGGU